This is a non-coding RNA of Protopterus annectens (West African lungfish), 83 nucleotides long. The record is from the annotation of a RefSeq genome assembly. NCBI's taxonomy places the organism in Eukaryota, Metazoa, Chordata, Ceratodontiformes, Protopteridae.
GAUGGAGUAGUGUAGUGGUUAUCACAUCUGCUUUACAUGCAGAAGGUCCUGGGUUCAAUCCCCAGUGGGGUUUGUUUCUUUCA